This 440-nucleotide ribosomal RNA is filed under the name uncultured bacterium. Its description in RNAcentral is "partial 16S ribosomal RNA". It matches the Rfam family "Bacterial small subunit ribosomal RNA", at positions 339 to 795 of the family's 1533-position model. The record is from RNAcentral.
CUACGGGAUGCUCCAGUGAGGAAUAUUGCACAAUGGGGGGAACCCUGAUGCAGCAACGCCGCGUGGAGGAUGACGCAUUUCGGUGUGUAAACUCCUUUUAUAUGUCAAGAAAAUGACGGUAGCAUAUGAAUAAGCACCGGCUAACUCCGUGCCAGCAGCCGCGGUAAUACGGGAGGGUGCAAGCGUUACUCGGAAUCACUGGGCGUAAAGGACGCGUAGGCGGGGUGGAAAGUCAGGUGUGAAAUCCUACAGCUUAACUGUAGAACUGCACUUGAAACUUCUAAUCUAGAGUAUGGGAGGGGGAGAUGGAAUUAGUGGUGUAGGGGUAAAAUCCGUAGAUAUCACUAGGAAUACCUAAAGCGAAGGCGAUCUCCUGGAACAUUACUGACGCUAAGGCGUGAAAGCGUGGGGAGCAAACAGGAUUAGAUACCCCCGUAGUC